RNAcentral lists this ribosomal RNA (478 nucleotides) under uncultured bacterium. RNAcentral describes it as "partial 16S ribosomal RNA". It matches the Rfam family "Bacterial small subunit ribosomal RNA", at positions 28 to 523 of the family's 1533-position model. The record is from RNAcentral.
GACGAACGCUGGCGGCGUGCUUAACACAUGCAAGUCGAACGGUAAGGCCCUUCGGGGUACACGAGUGGCGAACGGGUGAGUAACACGUGGGUGAUCUGCCCUGCGCUUCGGGAUAAGCCUGGGAAACUGGGUCUAAUACCGGAUAGGACUCCUGGCUUCAUGGUUGGGGGUGGAAAGCUUUUGCGGUGUGGGAUGGGCCCGCGGCCUAUCAGCUUGUUGGUGGGGUAAUGGCCUACCAAGGCGACGACGGGUAGCCGGCCUGGGAGGGUGGCCGGACACAGUGGGACUGAGAUACGGCCCAGACUCCUACGGGAGGCAGCAGUGGGGAAUAGUGCACAAUGGGCGCAAGCCUGAUGCAGCGACGCGGCGUGAGGGAUGACGGCCUUCGGGUUGUAAACCUCUUUCAGCUAUGACGAAGCGCAAGUGACGGUAGUAGCAGAAGAAGGACCGGCCAACUACAUGCCAGCCGCCGCCGUAA